CUAAGGGAAUUAAUCCUUAGUGUUUUCUGCUCAAUGAAUUUUAAAUUGCCGCAGCAAUAAACUGUGCUAAGGUAGCAUAAUCAUUUGUCUACUAAAUAUAGACCCGUAUGAAUGAAAAACUGAGAUUUAUACUAUUUCAUAAAAUCAAUUAAAAAUUUAUUUAAAGGUGAAGAAGCCUUUAUACACUCGUUAGACAAGAAGACCCUAUGAGCUUAAAUUUAAACAUUACUUACAUGUCAAAAAAUUCGACUGGGGCGGUCACCAUUAUACAAAACAAUUAUUAAUAUAUAACAAGAUAAACAAAUCAUACAUGAGAUCUAUAAAUAAUAAUCUACGAUUAAAGCUACCGCAGGGAUAACAGACUAAUUUUCUUCAAAAGUCCAUAUUUAAAAGAAAGAUUUGCACCUCGAUGUUGGCUUAUAUUAUUUUUCUAAAGUAAAAAUUAGAAAAAAAGGUUUGUUCAACCUUUAAUAUAUU
Molecule: ribosomal RNA, 477 nt
Filed under: Olavius sp. 'pianosa 1'
Lineage: Eukaryota; Metazoa; Annelida; Clitellata; Tubificida; Naididae
Description: partial 16S ribosomal RNA
Rfam family: Bacterial large subunit ribosomal RNA
Source: RNAcentral